GAUGAACGCUGGCGGCGUGCCUAAUACAUGCAAGUCGAGCGAACGGACGAGAAUCUUGCUUCUCUGAUGUUUUCGGCGGACGGGUGAGUAACACGUGGAUAACCUACCUAUAAGACUGGGAGAACUUCGGGAAACCGGAGCUAAAACCCGAGAAUAUUUUUAACUGCAUAGUUCAAAAUUGAAAGACGGUCUUGCUGUCACUUAUAGAUGUAGCCGCGCUGCAUUGGCUAGUGGGUAAGGUAACGGCUUACCAAGGCAACGAUGCAUAGCCGACCUGAGAGGGUGAUCGGCCACACUGGAACUGAGACACGGUCCAGACUCCUACGGGAGGCAGCAGUAGGGAAUCUUCCGCAAUGGGCGAAAGCCUGACGGAGCAACGCCGCGUGAGUGAUGAAGGUCUUCGGAUCGUAAAACUCUGUUAUUAGGGAAGAACAUAUGUGUAAGUAACUGUGCACAUCUUGACGGUACCUAAUCAGAAAGCCACGGCUAACUACGUG
RNAcentral lists this ribosomal RNA (497 nucleotides) under uncultured bacterium. Its description in RNAcentral is "partial 16S ribosomal RNA". It matches the Rfam family "Bacterial small subunit ribosomal RNA", at positions 28 to 507 of the family's 1533-position model. The record is from RNAcentral.